Humulus lupulus (European hop) is the source of this 373-nucleotide long non-coding RNA. RefSeq lists it as uncharacterized. The record is from RefSeq and is a predicted model, not a curated record. NCBI's taxonomy places the organism in Eukaryota, Viridiplantae, Streptophyta, Magnoliopsida, Rosales, Cannabaceae. The transcript has 2 exons.
AUAGCCACCCAUGGCUUCAUCAAGAAGACAUAGCCAAGGUUCCAUUUUAAGACCAGUUCCUCCACCAAUAAAAACCAUCGAAACACCUGACCCAAGAUCCAGUUUUGGACCACUAAUAAUUAUACUUGACCAUAAUAAGGAUACACCUCUUCCGGCUCCACCAUUAAUCGCCACCCACCGACUUAGCUCAGCUCCCAUUUUUGGACCUCGAUCUUCUUCCUACCCCUAACUAUAGCUAGCUGAUGUUAAUAUAGCAAAGCAAAUUCCAGAAUCUAUGACCGCUGUUCAUCGAUCGUCUUUUACGAAUAAUUACUAGCCUUAUUAGUGUAAUUAAUUUUACUUUAUUGGGAGAUAUAAAAUACAAUUUCACUCA